UACCCCCUGUGGACCCAUUGAACCACCUGGUCCUUGGUGAACUCCCCUUGUUAAGAAGGAUUAACGCGGGAGGUUGGCCCCCUCCGGGGUAACCUCAAGAAACCACCAGAGGUGGCCUGUCAAUUGUCCUGUACGUUUCACGCCUCGAUGGUCCGGUGAGAACUGUUUGGGUUUUAANGUCCCCCGCCCAACGAGGGCGACCAACCCCCCUGGUCCCUUUUUGUUUGUCCAGGCCACCGCUUAACUGGGUGGGGAAACCUCCCAGGGGUAGAACUGCCCGGUUGACUAAAACCGGGAGGGAAGGGUGGGGACUGACGUCAAGUCAUCAAUGGCCCUUACGGCCAGGGCUACACACGUGCUACAAUGGCGCGUACAGAGGGCCUGCAAGAUAGCGAUAGUGAGCGAAUCCCAAAAAGCGCGCUCGUAGUCCGGAAUUGGAGCCUGCAACUCGACUCCAUGAAGUCGGAAUCGCCUUUAGGUAAUCGCAAAUCAGAAUGUUGCGGGUGACACUACGUUCCCCGGGUCCCUGUUACACACCGCCCCGCUCACACCCAUGGGUAGAUGUGGGCUUGCCACCAGCAAGCUAGCACUAGCCUUUAACCAUUCGCGCAGGGCCGCUUUACCAACGGCCGUCGUAUUCACCUAA
This 646-nucleotide ribosomal RNA is filed under the name bacterium amphCTABsum06-2. RNAcentral describes it as "partial 16S ribosomal RNA". It matches the Rfam family "Bacterial small subunit ribosomal RNA", at positions 1074 to 1533 of the family's 1533-position model. The record is from RNAcentral.